GAUGAACGCUGGCGGCGUGCCUAAUACAUGCAAGUCGAGCGAACAGACGAGGAGCUUGCUUCUCUGAUGUUAGCGGCGGACGGGUGAGUAACACGUGGAUAACCUACCUAUAAGACUGGGAUAACUUCGGGAAACCGUAGCUAAUACCGGAUAAUAUUUUGAACCGCAUGGUUCAAUAGUGAAAGACGGUCUUGCUGUCACUUAUAGAUGGAUCCGCGCUGCAUUAGCUAGUUGGUAAGGUAACGGCUUACCAAGGCAACGAUGCGUAGCCGACCUGAGAGGGUGAUCGGCCACACUGGAACUGAGACACGGUCCAGACUCCUACGGGAGGCAGCAGUAGGGAAUCUUCCGCAAUGGGCGAAAGCCUGACGGAGCAACGCCGCGUGAGUGAUGAAGGUCUUCGGAUCGUAAAACUCUGUUAUUAGGGAAGAACAUAUGUGUAAGUAACUGUGCACAUCUUGACGGUACCUAAUCAGAAAGCCACGGCUAACUACGUG
Molecule: ribosomal RNA, 497 nt
Filed under: uncultured bacterium
Lineage: Bacteria
Description: partial 16S ribosomal RNA
Rfam family: Bacterial small subunit ribosomal RNA
Source: RNAcentral